Molecule: ribosomal RNA, 301 nt
Filed under: uncultured bacterium
Lineage: Bacteria
Description: partial 16S ribosomal RNA
Rfam family: Bacterial small subunit ribosomal RNA
Source: RNAcentral
CAGCCGCCGCGGGAACACGUAGGUGGCAAGCGUUGUCCGGAAUUAUUGGGCGUAAAGCGCGCGCAGGUGGUUUAAUAAGUCUGAUGUGAAAGCCCACGGCUCAACCGUGGAGGGUCAUUGGAAACUGUUAAACUUGAGUGCAGGAGAGAAAAGUGGAAUUCCUAGUGUAGCGGUGAAAUGCGUAGAGAUUAGGAGGAACACCAGUGGCGAAGGCGGCUUUUCGGCCUGUAACUGACACUGUGGCGCGAAAGCGUGGGGAGCAAACAGGAUUAGAGACCCCCGUAGUCCCUGUCUCUUAUAC